UAAUGCUUGGGAAUCUAGCUUAUGGAGGGGGAUAACUACGGGAAGCUGUAGCUAAUACCGCGUAGAAUCGAGAGAUGAAAGUGUGGGACCUUCGGGCCACAUGCCAUAGGAUGAGCCCAAGUGGGAUUAGGUAGUUGGUGAGGUAAAGGCUCACCAAGCCGACGAUCUCUAGCUGGUCUGAGAGGAUGACCAGCCACACUGGGACUGAGACACGGCCCAG
RNAcentral lists this ribosomal RNA (220 nucleotides) under uncultured bacterium. RNAcentral's name for it is "partial 16S ribosomal RNA". It matches the Rfam family "Bacterial small subunit ribosomal RNA", at positions 111 to 334 of the family's 1533-position model. The record is from RNAcentral.